This 442-nucleotide ribosomal RNA is filed under the name uncultured bacterium. Its description in RNAcentral is "partial 16S ribosomal RNA". It matches the Rfam family "Bacterial small subunit ribosomal RNA", at positions 338 to 795 of the family's 1533-position model. The record is from RNAcentral.
CCUACGGGGGGCUGCAGUUGGGAAUCUUGCACAAUGGGGGAAACCCUGAUGCAGCGACGCCGCGUGGAGGAAGAAGGGUCUAGGCUCGUAAACUCCUUUUUCAGGGAAAGACUUAGGACGGUACCCUGAGAAUAAGCUCCGGCUAACUCCGUGCCAGAAGCCGCGGUAAGACGGAGGGAGAGAGCGUUGUCCGGAUUUACUGGGCGUAAAGAGCACGUAGGCGGUCUGUUAAGUGAGAAGGGAAAUCUCCAGCGCGACACGAGGAAACGGCUUUUCAUACUGGCAGACUUGAGGGAUGCAGAGGCAAGUAGAAUUCCUGGUGUACCGGUGACAUGGGGUGAUAUCAGGAGGAAUACCAAUGGCGAAGGCAGCUUGCUGGGCAUCAUCUGACGCUGAGGUGCGAAAGCGUGGGUAGCAAACAGGAUUAGAUACCCCAGUAGUC